This 119-nucleotide ribosomal RNA is filed under the name Lepisosteus oculatus (spotted gar). The record is from RNAcentral. Lineage: Eukaryota; Metazoa; Chordata; Actinopteri; Semionotiformes; Lepisosteidae.
GCCAGCAGCCAUGUCACCCUGCAACUCACAACUGGCAGCCCACUGGAGCUCAGCAGGUGUGAGCCUGGUCAGUACCUGGAUGGGAGACCUCCUGGGAAAAACUAAGGUUGCUGCUGGAA